GUGAAUGUAGUUUUAACCCUUAAAACAUUUGCUUUGCAAGCAAAAGAUCUAGGUUUAACUUUCCUAGCCUUUACA
This 75-nucleotide transfer RNA is filed under the name Anneissia pinguis. RNAcentral's name for it is "tRNA-Ala". It matches the Rfam family "tRNA". Rfam says of the family: Transfer RNA (tRNA) molecules are approximately 80 nucleotides in length. Their secondary structure includes four short double-helical elements and three loops (D, anti-codon, and T loops). The record is from RNAcentral. Lineage: Eukaryota; Metazoa; Echinodermata; Crinoidea; Comatulida; Comatulidae.